UUAGAGUUUGAUCCUGGCUCAGGACGAACGCUGGCGGCGUGCCUAAUACAUGCAAGUAGAACGCUGAAGAGAGGAGCUUGCUCUUCUUGGAUGAGUUGCGAACGGGUGAGUAACGCGUAGGCAACCUGCCUUGUAGCGGGGGAUAACUAUUGGAAACGAUAGCUAAUACCGCAUAACAAUGGAUGACACAUGUCAUUUAUUUGAAAGGGGCAAUUGCUCCACUACAAGAUGGACCUGCGUUGUAUUAGCUAGUAGGUGAGGUAAUGGCUCACCUAGGCGACGAUACAUAGCCGACCUGAGAGGGUGAUCGGCCACACUGGGACUGAGACACGGCCCAGACUCCUACGGGAGGCAGCAGUAGGGAAUCUUCGGCAAUGGGGGCAACCCUGACCGAGCAACGCCGCGUGAGUGAAGAAGGUUUUCGGAUCGUAAAGCUCUGUUGUAAGUCAAGAACGGGUGUGAGAGUGGAAAGUUCACACUGUGACGGUAGCUUACCAGAAAGGGACGGCUAACUACGUGCCAGCAGCCGCGGUAAUACGUAGGUCCCGAGCGUUGUCCGGAUUUAUUGGGCGUAAAGCGAGCGCAGGCGGUUUGAUAAGUCUGAAGUUAAAGGCUGUGGCACAACCAUAGUUCGCUUUGGAAACUGUCAAACUUGAGUGCAGAAGGGGAGAGUGGAAUUCCAUGUGUAGCGGUGAAAUGCGUAGAUAUAUGGAGGAACACCGGUGGCGAAAGCGGCUCUCUGGUCUGUAACUGACGCUGAGGGCUCGAAAGCGUUGGGGAGCGAACAGGAUUAGAUACCCUGGUAGUCCACGCCGUAAACGAUGAGUGCUAGGGGGUUGGAUCCUUUCCGGGGAUUCAGUGCCGAAGCUAACGCAUUAAGCACUCCGCCUGGGGGAGUACGACCGCAAGGUUGAACUCAAAAAGGAAUUUGACGGGGGGCCCGCACAAGCGGUGGAACCAUGGUGGUUUAAUUCGAAGCAACGCGAAGAACCUUACCAGGUCUUGACAUCCCGAUGCUAUUUCUAAGAGAUAGAAAGUUACUU
This 1043-nucleotide ribosomal RNA is filed under the name uncultured bacterium. RNAcentral describes it as "bacterial SSU rRNA". It matches the Rfam family "Bacterial small subunit ribosomal RNA", at positions 1 to 1019 of the family's 1533-position model. The record is from RNAcentral.